UACGUAGGGUGCAAGCGUUGUCCGGAAUUAUUGGGCGUAAAGGGUGCGUAGGCGGUUCGUUAAGUCUGUUGUGAAAUCCCCGGGCUCAACCUGGGAAUGGCAAUGGAUACUGGCGGGCUAGAGUGUGUCAGAGGAUGGUGGAAUUCCCGGUGUAGCGGUGAAAUGCGUAGAGAUCGGGAGGAACAUCAGUGGCGAAGGCGGCCAUCUGGGACAACACUGACGCUGAAGCACGAAAGCGUGGGGAGCAAACAGG
This 253-nucleotide ribosomal RNA is filed under the name uncultured bacterium. RNAcentral describes it as "partial 16S ribosomal RNA". It matches the Rfam family "Bacterial small subunit ribosomal RNA", at positions 524 to 776 of the family's 1533-position model. The record is from RNAcentral.